This is a long non-coding RNA of Rhinolophus ferrumequinum (greater horseshoe bat), 1298 nucleotides long. RefSeq lists it as uncharacterized. The record is from RefSeq and is a predicted model, not a curated record. NCBI's taxonomy places the organism in Eukaryota, Metazoa, Chordata, Mammalia, Chiroptera, Rhinolophidae. The transcript is spliced from 9 exons.
GCGUUGAAAAAUCAGGAGGCUGUCGUUCUCCCAAAUGAGACUCAUGGAAAUCUCAGUAUGGAAAGCAGCUAAGUGUCCCGGCCCCUGUGGUGACACAGUUCCACCCUCCCCACCCUGCUCAGGCUGGAGGGCAGUCUGGGUGUGGAAAGGAGGAUAUUUUGGGCAGCAGCAUGCCUGGUGAGAAGACACCAGUCACCAGUUCCCUAGGUAUAGCUAAGUCCUGGCCAGCGGGACUUCUGAAAACUCAUUAGAAGCAUGAAGACAGCUGCCAUAGGUCCUUCCUGCCUUUCCUUUGUUCUUCUGGCUUCCUCUUUGGAAUGUCAGUUCGAUGGCUGGAACUCCCGCAGGCAUCCUGGUCCCUGAGGCAGCCUCGAGGCUGGAAAGCAGAGAGCAGAUGUAGAGUAAGAACCCAGGAGUCUCGAUCCUGAGAGUGAGACACCAGUAAGACCUGUGCACCGCGCUCAGCGGCGCUUCCUGGCCAGUGAACACUCUGCUGUGCUGGUGAGGGCCGCCACCGCCUGGUCGCCCUGGAGACCAGCGCCUGUCCACACAGGGGCUGCACCUGCGCCCGUCCAGCCUCCUUUCUCUUCGGGGCCUCUCACUGCACAAAACGAAAGAAGAGAAGGAAAACACUUGGCGGGUUGGUCUGUGGCCGCAGGCCAUGACUGAGGUCAGAGCUGGACCCAGCUAGAGCUGGCGGCGGGAAAGACUGGAGCAGCGGAGGAGGAAAUCAAGAGGCCAACAACACAAAGAUUGAUAGAAAUACAUUUUCCUUGUCUCUUCUGCACAUAAUACUCAGCAGGGAAAGAUGUCAGGCUGACAGGACUUGGCGCUGUUUUCUAUCUAAAGUCAGACUAUAACGCCACCAGGACCAGGACCUUCACCUUUUCUUCACUAACAUCCCGACUGAAACAGAGCAGCAGCUGGCAGCCCCAGAAUUGGCGCUAUUAUCACCCCCCUGCCCCCCAAAUCUGAGGACAAGGACGCAGAGAGGAGGGACAUGGUGGGCUUCCGAGGUAAUGGGAUUUAUUCUGGAGUAUUUCCUCCACUGUUUGGAGCGUCACCGUGCAAAGGGCCUGGCCGUGGAACUGGCCAUCACAGCUUUCGAGGCUCAGAGGGUUCUUUGUGCUCCCCACAUGAGUCGACAGCACCUGAGACAGAGCCACCCACGCGCCAGGCUCCAGCAGGGACUUCUGCGACUGUUACUAACCCGUGUCAGGACGUCCAAUGCACACCUCUCCAUGCUGCCCAGACUCGCUAGUGCAGUGACAGCCAUCUUUCUAAAACACAAACAUCAC